UACGUAGGGGGCAAGCGUUGUCCGGAAUCAUUGGGCGUAAAGCGCACGUAGGCGGAUCUUUAAGUCAGGGGUGAAAUCCCGAGGCUCAACCUCGGAACUGCCUUUGAUACUGGGGAUCUCGAGUCCGGGAGAGGUGAGUGGAACUGCGAGUGUAGAGGUGAAAUUCGUAGAUAUUCGCAAGAACACCAGUGGCGAAGGCGGCUCACUGGCCCGGAACUGACGCUGAGGUGCGAAAGCGUGGGGAGCAAACAGGG
RNAcentral lists this ribosomal RNA (254 nucleotides) under uncultured bacterium. RNAcentral's name for it is "partial 16S ribosomal RNA". It matches the Rfam family "Bacterial small subunit ribosomal RNA", at positions 524 to 777 of the family's 1533-position model. The record is from RNAcentral.